CUGACAGGUGGACCCUUAUGUAGUUAGCUAAUAGACACGGCAAAGAACUCGGAAUGAAAAUUGGGUCCGUUUCUCGGACUUCCCGGCGGCCGGCGCCCUCCCUGCGAGAGCGCCGCAGGGCUCGGCUCGGCCGGCGAUUCACUCAACCAGCGCGCUUGCGGCUAUCCUCUUUUCCCCUCUCCAGAGCAGCUCCUUGCUCUCCCCACACCGACGGGUGUCUUCUUGUUUGAUCUGAUUGCAGAUGCAACCCCAAGGUGUAUCGAUCGAUCCAUCUGCUGUCACAAUCCUGCACCAGAAAAUUUCAUGGAGAUGGCUGAGCGCUGGCUGUUAGCACCAAAGAAAGCAUCAAUUUGGCUUAGAGAAUUCUACUUCUCCUGGAGAGUGAGGAUACACCCUCUUCUGUGUGUUCAAGAGAAAAAAGAAAAUUACAGUCCCUGGAGAGCCAGUAUUUCCUUUUCUCUAAGCUUUCUGCCUUUUGUCCUUCCCAGUUUCAUGAAGGAGCAGGUGCAUUUUAACUGUACCAGCUGUUUCAUGCUUGUAUGUCUAUAUAACCCAUUAGUAGAGAGAGCCAUCAUAUAUUAACAUAAUGAUUGUAAUCCGGUUGGUUAAAUACUACAAUCUCAUCACGAUCAUUCUUCUGUUGAGAUGCGGAAAUAUAUAGUUGUUAUUUUCAGGAAACUAAAUGAGGAACACGUGGAAGCCUGCUCAACUGUGCUUACAAACCUAGUGGCAUUCCCUCUGAACAAAUGAUGGGUGGUUUCUGCAAAAUGAAGAUCUUAAAUAUUGUUAUCCUUUAGAGUCUGGAGAUUGGCUGCUCAAUUUUUUGCUUUGAUUAUAGACCUGAUUGCAUUUGGAUAUUUGUUUGCAUGAUUGCCAUGUGAAAAGUGGUUAUUCAUUAUAUUGCCCAUAGCUAGCAUAGUUAGUCAAAAUGUCUAACAGUUAGCAAAAUGUCAAAGGGUAUUCCGUGCUAUAGAAUGCACAUUCAAUUUUAUUCUGUUCUUUUUAAGCAACAUAUGUUUAUAUGUUCAUUGUUAUUCCGUGUGGCUUGAAGUUGGAUGUUUCAAAUUAUGCGAAUCUUUCAAUGGUAUGAUUAAGGAAACACAAUGAUAUAUGGUUUCACAUUUUUAUUCAUCAAGUCUUACCUGGAAGGCUGUAAUGCGUGAUUGACCCUUUAUCUUUUGGGUCCUUAAUCUCUCCAAUAUGAUAAGGUUUCAUCACAGGUAAAUACAUGGACCAAAGUUCCUGCAAUGUGUCUGUUUAAACUAGUAAAUACCUAGAAUGUGUUUGUUUAUCUUCACCUCCUCCUCUUAGCUGGGUUGUUGUAAAGGUGCUUUGCUCAUCUGGAGUUACCUAGGACCAAAACAACUCGUCGCUACUCUGUGUUUAUAAAUAUUUACUCGUUUGCAACUGUUAAAUGAAAGAUAGUCACCAAUUAUUUCAAAAGUGCACUAAUUAGCUUGUCCUAGACGUCAUAUUUAAAAAUGAAGGGAGUCUUCUGCACCUUGAUAACCUGGCCCUACUACUAAGGAGUACUGAUGCAAGAUGGUCGUCCUUCUACUCCCUCAGUCCCACGAAGAGUCUUCAGACAGAUUAGUGGUGGUGUGAAAAGACUCCCAUGCCCUCAAUUGUUGGCCACAUGCAGUUAGUUUUGGCAUGCAAAUCAAAUCUAACCGCUUAAUUAGGCAAGUAGUUAGAUCUAAUUCCUAGAAUUGCACUCUUUUGUGGGAUGUUUUUCAAACGCUAGGAUUGCACUUUUCAUGGGACGGAGGGAGUGUGUUUCAAAAGAGAGUAGUUUAUAUCUUCAUUUAUUUGGAAGAUGGAUAGCUAGAUGAACAAACAGCUAGGGUAUAUAAAAUACUGCUUUAAGUCACUGAGGCUUUUACUUCUUCUAUUUGAGCAAUUAUUUUGUAGCAUAAACUUUACCCUUGCUUGUUUGACAUGUUGUGCUUUUUCAUACACAGUGCCAUGUAAGAAAUGAUGCUCUCAUUGUAACAUUGUAGGUGUGUGGUAUACAAACUGAUAAUAUUAAAAGCAUUUUUUCCUAUAAAAGUCAUUUACAAAGAAGCUUGAAUCUCAUAUGGAAUACCUUUGUUGCAUCAUCCAUUUUGAUCAUUGGUUUGCAAAUAGCAUCCUGAUGUGAGAGCAAAACUGAAGCAGGGUUAUACCGAAUGGCAGGGCAAUUCUCCUUUGGCAGGGAUGGCGAUAGCACUGUGCAUUGUCCAUGCCUGCUACUUUGGCCUCCAUGCCAGAGGAGAACCGCACUGUGAUUCUCACCCUGAAUGCUCCCUAUCCAUCUUUGAUCUCUUCCAUUUCUUAUUUCUCCAGAAAGUCCAUCACUCUGAUGUAACUUGCCCUUCAUAUUCUUAUUUUUGUGCUCACUCUGUUUCUUGCCUUGCACCGUAUGCUGCCAUGGCAAAUAUAUAGGGCCGAGAUGGGCAACCAAAAUCUGGAUAUGCUGCUGCUGCGGAUAUACUUCCAAAUCAGGACAAUGCUUUCAGGAGGUCUCUUUUGCAGUUUUAUUCCCUGUCACUGUUGUUGGAAAAGAAGUUUGAUGCCAGAAUAAGCUGUUCCAUCGACGAUACAUUUUGCGUUAGAGACCAACCUUCGUCUAUUACUAACAGAAACUGAAUCCUCUACAAGGUUAUUCCUGUACAAACUGGUUACCAUCUCUAUUAGGUCCAUUGGUAUUAUGCUUUGUCGCGGAACAUCCCCAUGGAUCUUCUCAUUUGGUGCUGUUCAAAGCUGCCUCAGUUGAAGAAUCCAGUAGGUAUCUGAUUCCAGGAGCUUUGUAGAAAGGAUGCACCUCCUGCAAGUUGAGCUGCUGAGGGCGUCGAAAGGCCGCGUAACAUUUCAAUACAUCUAAUCUUGGGUCCUACACCCAGAUGAUUGUUUACAUCCUGGAUCUUUAUCUUUUAUUAAAAUAUUGAUUCAUAAAUAAGCCACCUGUUUCUGCUGAUUCUUUUUCUUGCUCAUUAAAAGUUCUGAUCAACAGUUUUCAUUUACUACGUUUUUUUUUUCAGUUUGCCCCCUCAAGAACUACCAUUGACUAAGUUAUAAUACAGUUUUAUUGUAACUACUAAAAAUUGUAGGAAGCAACAAGAAAAUGGCACACAGGAGUCAUCAAAUCACCGUUGCGCCAUGUCCAUGUCACCAAUAUUAGGUCCUGGGUGAACAUAACGGACCAACUAGUGUUAGCCUGAAUUAUAACAUCAUUGGGGAAUGAAUUGCUAGGAGAUCCCAGGGUGAGGAGAAUAGAUUGAAAUUUUGCUAAUUUCAGGAAAGUGAAAAUUAGCAAGGUAGACAAGAAAAUGGCACAAUAGCAUCACACCUUAAACAGAGUGGAAGACAGCAACUUUUCUGAAGUAUAGAAGGAAAAGAGGAAAGGACCCAUCCUUUUAACACACUGAGAGCCUGGAGAUGGCAAGUGCUACAAACAGGUGGACAUUACAGCAGUUGCAAAUCUGUCAUUAUGUUUACUAUUGCAAAAAAUGCUUAGAAAAGAUGCCAGGGGUGCUUGGAAAAUAUGCUUCUUUGUAUCUGGAAAUAUGCUUGGUACCAUACCUGUCAAGCAAAGAGAGAAGAGAAGAUCAAGCGGAUAUGCUGAUGCUAGCUUCCAUUCCAUGAGCUCAAAUCUAGCAACAGUGCAAUGCAUAUAUAUACUGGCUUGGUCGAACCUAGGAUGCAGCAACCCAGUCAUCAGGGUAACUCCAGAUGGUGCUGAAACUCUUGGCUUGUGGUAAAGAAAACAUAUAGGAGAAAGAUACGCGUCUAGUCAAUAUGGAAUCAGCUGUGUUAAGUGGCAGAUCUUCUCCAUCCGUGCCUGCUACUACUUCAUAGGGAGCCUGCCUUUGAAGAGCAUCUCAGCAUGUGUCUGAAGUGAAGGCUGAACAGCCACUAGGCGUUCCAACGGCCGCGACACAUGUCGGAUAGAGUAUAAGAUCUCAAUCUUUGUGAAAGUACUCCUUUUGCCACUUUGAUGCGUCUGUUUGUGACUGGAUACUUGGACCGGCAGCUUCAAGAUAUUUUCAAAAAUGUAAGUGAGCUAUCAAAGGACAUUGCAAUUUCUUUUAAAAUGUUAUACCUGAAUUGUUCCUUCCGAA
Molecule: long non-coding RNA, 4100 nt
Organism: Setaria italica (foxtail millet)
Lineage: Eukaryota; Viridiplantae; Streptophyta; Magnoliopsida; Poales; Poaceae
Exons: 5
Source: RefSeq, a predicted model, not a curated record